RNAcentral lists this ribosomal RNA (525 nucleotides) under uncultured bacterium. RNAcentral describes it as "bacterial SSU rRNA". It matches the Rfam family "Bacterial small subunit ribosomal RNA", at positions 355 to 896 of the family's 1533-position model. The record is from RNAcentral.
UAGGGAAUCUUGCACAAUGGGCGAAAGCCUGAUGCAGCAACGCCGCGUGAAGGAUGAAGGCCUUCGGGUUGUAAACUUCUGUUCUAAGGGAAGAAAGAAAUGACGGUACCUUAGGAGCAAGCCCCGGCUAACUACGUGCCAGCAGCCGCGGUAAUACGUAGGGGGCAAGCGUUAUCCGGAAUUAUUGGGCGUAAAGAGUGCGUAGGUGGUUACCUAAGCGCAAGGUUUAAAUUAGAGGCUCAACCUCUACAUGCCUUGCGAACUGGGCUACUUGAGUGCAGGAGGGGAAAGCGGAAUUCCUAGUGUAGCGGUGAAAUGCGUAGAUAUUAGGAGGAACACCGGCGGCGAAGGCGGCUUUCUGGACUGUAACUGACACUGAGGCACGAAAGCGUGGGUAGCAAACAGGAUUAGAUACCCUGGUAGUCCACGCCGUAAACGAUGAGCACUAGGUGUUGGGUCCGUUAGGACUCAGUGCCGCAGUUAACGCAAUAAGUGCUCCGCCUGGGGAGUACGCUCGCAAGAGUA